UAGGUACCUUAAUGGUGUGGUCUGCAUGAUU
RNAcentral lists this non-coding RNA (31 nucleotides) under Rattus norvegicus (Norway rat). Lineage: Eukaryota; Metazoa; Chordata; Mammalia; Rodentia; Muridae. The record is from RNAcentral.